AGUGAACGCUGGCGGUAGGCCUAACACAUGCAAGUCGAACGGCAGCACAGUAAGAGCUUGCUCUUACGGGUGGCGAGUGGCGGACGGGUGAGGAAUACAUCGGAAUCUACUUUUUCGUGGGGGAUAACGUAGGGAAACUUACGCUAAUAACGCAUACGACCUACGGGUGAAAGCAGGGGAUCUUCGGACCUUGAGCGAUUGAAUGAGCCGAUGUCGGAUUAGCUAGUUGGCGGGGUAAAGGCCCACCACGGCGACGAUCCGUAGCUGGUCUGAGAGGAUGAUCAGCCACACUGGAACUGAGACACGGUCCAGACUCCUACGGGAGGCAGCAGUGGGGAAUAUUGGACAAUGGGCGCAAGCCUGAUCCAGCCAUACCGCGUGGGUGAAGAAGGCCUUCGGGUUGUAAAGCCCUUUUGUUGGGAAAGAAAAGCAGCAGGUUAAUACCCCGCUGUUCUGACGGUACCCAAAGAAUAAGCACCGGCUAACUUCGUG
This 492-nucleotide ribosomal RNA is filed under the name uncultured bacterium. Its description in RNAcentral is "partial 16S ribosomal RNA". It matches the Rfam family "Bacterial small subunit ribosomal RNA", at positions 29 to 507 of the family's 1533-position model. The record is from RNAcentral.